RNAcentral lists this ribosomal RNA (114 nucleotides) under Jaculus jaculus (lesser Egyptian jerboa). Lineage: Eukaryota; Metazoa; Chordata; Mammalia; Rodentia; Dipodidae. The record is from RNAcentral.
GGCUACGGCCAUACCACCCUGAACACACCCAAUCUCGUCUGAUCUCGGAAACUAAGCAGGGAGGGGCCUGGUUAGUACUUGAUGGGAAAAAAGUGUAUGCAGAGAUCUGAGCUU